This is a long non-coding RNA of Lemur catta (Ring-tailed lemur), 937 nucleotides long. RefSeq lists it as uncharacterized. Lineage: Eukaryota; Metazoa; Chordata; Mammalia; Primates; Lemuridae. The transcript has 5 exons. The record is from RefSeq and is a predicted model, not a curated record.
UUUAGCAAAACACAAACACAUUUAGAUCCUCUGUUUUUAUCACAGAAAAGUUGUUUUUACCAGGAGCAUUAUCAAAUAAAUCUACUACUGCUCAUGACAGUAACCCUGUGACGGACUUGAUGAUAUUGCUGCAUGCACAGUAUCGUUCAAUCCAUCCAGCUACACAGUUGAUGGCUGUCAGCCCUGAAGAACCCCAUCGUCUCUAAACCAAAUAGUUGCCUGAAGGCUCUGCAAUCAGACAGAGGUCAGAGUUUGCGACUUCAGUGAAGAAGGACCACUCAGAGCCCACAGAAAAAAGUGUACCAGCUGCAGGCUGUGGGAGCGGAAGUUUACGCCACUCAAUGCUGGAACUUACACAACCUUCACUGGGUGCUUCAUAGAUAACUUUCAUAAAUCAUUACGAGCCCAUGUCACAGUGAUUGAUUUUACUGCGUUCAGGCAGAACAGACCUGGACCUGAGUGGGAACAAUCCAGCCUUGAAGACUGUGUUAUCUUGGGAUCCAAGCUGAAGAGGCAGCAGCUACCCGGAAGCUCUUCUGAGGGAGAUGUCAGAGGUGCAAGAGAGUAAACCCAACCACUCAGCUGAAGCUUACUUCCUGCCUUACCUCCAAGUCAAGGAGGGUGAAGCAGCCUUUGCUUCCAAUAAGAGGAACUGCAAAGUCACUUGGCAAAAGGCUUGGCUACAAGGAGGAACUGACCUCUGUGUAUGUUUGAGUUUGUUGACUCUGUUUAACGACAUUCUCAACUCAUAAACUUAACUGACACUUCAGACGUGUGUUCAGCAAUCUAAAAGCUCAUUUGUUUUAAUUUUACCUGUAAUCUGAAAAUUGUGUCUUUUUCCUUUCAAAUGUGGGAUCUCAAACUGGAAAUGAUCAAUAUAUAGGCUGGAAAUUAUAUAAGUCCUCUUAUUAUAGCUCUUUUUUACAAUAGAAACUGG